RNAcentral lists this ribosomal RNA (303 nucleotides) under Triticum aestivum (bread wheat). RNAcentral describes it as "partial small subunit ribosomal RNA". The record is from RNAcentral. Lineage: Eukaryota; Viridiplantae; Streptophyta; Magnoliopsida; Poales; Poaceae.
AUGACUCGUGCUCAGUUUGUAACGAUUUCGAGUCGAUCUCGAGCUAGUUUCGAGCUAAAUAAGAUGAUAAAAAUUAUAAAUCUGUGGAUGAAAAACAAAAAAAAGGUGAAUAUUGUUGGGAACCUUUGCCAAAAAAUAGGAUAUUUAGCACAUAGUCGACCACGUGCCAUAAUUAGGCCUAAAUUUUCUCUGCACUUAAUUAAGUUUUCAUGUCCGUUGGUAAAUAAAAUGAAGAAAAUUAUGAACAACAUAUAUGAUAAUAAAUUAUCUUCUUUUCAUUUAAUAUAUGGCAUGAUCUUUUAA